This 149-nucleotide ribosomal RNA is filed under the name uncultured eukaryote. Its description in RNAcentral is "partial 18S ribosomal RNA". The record is from RNAcentral.
UCGUGGCAUGAGUCGUCUUUAUUAGUAUGUUAAUUCGGGUAACGAGCGAGACCUCCGUGGGGUUACUAAGAGUUGGUCGGUGAUGUUUUCAUCCUGACCCCGCCCAGACACGAACGUCGAAAAGACAUGGGAAGUGGGAGGCUAUAACA